CAAUGUUGAGGAGUCCCAUAAUAGGACGAAACGGUCGUCUAGUGC
Schistosoma margrebowiei is the source of this 45-nucleotide non-coding RNA. NCBI's taxonomy places the organism in Eukaryota, Metazoa, Platyhelminthes, Trematoda, Strigeidida, Schistosomatidae. The record is from Rfam.